AAGCUCGUAGUUGAAUUUCGGGACCAUCAUGUCGGUCGUGCCUCGGUACGCACUGGCAUCGUCGGUUUCUCCCUUCUGACGAACCAUGAUGUCAUUUAUUUGGUGUUGUGGGGAAUCAGGACUGUUACUUUGAAAAAAUUAGAGUGUUUAAAGCAGGCUCACGCUUGAAUACAUUAGCAUGGAAUAAUGAAAUAGGACGUUUGAUUCUAUUUUGUUGGUUUCUGAAUCACCGUAAUGAUUAAUAGGGAUAGUUGGG
This 256-nucleotide ribosomal RNA is filed under the name uncultured Glomeromycotina. RNAcentral's name for it is "partial 18S ribosomal RNA". It matches the Rfam family "Eukaryotic small subunit ribosomal RNA", at positions 624 to 886 of the family's 1831-position model. The record is from RNAcentral. Lineage: Eukaryota; Fungi; Glomeromycota.